UGGCUCAGAACGAACGCUGGCGGCGCGUUUAAGCAUGCAAGUCGAGCGGCAAGGGCCUUCGGGCCCCUAGUAGCGGCGGACGGGUGAGUAACACGUGGACAAUCUGCCCCCCGGCCCGGGAUAGCCCAGGGAAACCUGGAUUAAUACCGGAUGAGACGGGACCCGCGAUGGCGGGAUCCGGGAAAGGCGCUGCGGCGCCGCCGGGGGAUGAGUCUGCGUCCCAUUAGCUAGACGGCGGGGUAACGGCCCACCGUGGCGACGAUGGGUAGCCGGCCUGAGAGGGUGGACGGCCACAUUGGAACUGAGACACGGUCCAGACUCCUACGGGAGGCAGCAGCUAAGAAUCUUCCGCAAUGGGCGAAAGCCUGACGGAGCGACGCCCGCGUGAACGAAGAAGGCCGUGAGGUUGUAAAGUUCUUUUCGGGAGGGGGAACAACCGUGGCAGGGAAUGGCCGCGGGAUGACGUGAAUCCCGGAAUAAGCCCCGGCUAACUAGGUGCCAGCCGCAGC
RNAcentral lists this ribosomal RNA (509 nucleotides) under uncultured bacterium. RNAcentral describes it as "bacterial SSU rRNA". It matches the Rfam family "Bacterial small subunit ribosomal RNA", at positions 20 to 518 of the family's 1533-position model. The record is from RNAcentral.